AUUGAACGCUGGCGGCAUGCCUUACACAUGCAAGUCGAACGGCAGCACGGGUGCUUGCACCUGGUGGCGAGUGGCGAACGGGUGAGUAAUACAUCGGAACAUGUCCUGUAGUGGGGGAUAGCCCGGCGAAAGCCGGAUUAAUACCGCACACGAUCUACGGAUGAAAGCGGGGGACCUUCGGGCCUCGCGCUAUAGGGUUGGCCGAUGGCUGAUUAGCUAGUUGGUGGGGUAAAGGCCUACCAAGGCGACGAUCAGUAGCUGGUCUGAGAGGACGACCAGCCACACUGGGACUGAGACACGGCCCAGACUCCUACGGGAGGCAGCAGUGGGGAAUUUUGGACAAUGGGCGAAAGCCUGAUCCAGCAAUGCCGCGUGUGUGAAGAAGGCCUUCGGGUUGUAAAGCACUUUUGUCCGGAAAGAAAUCCUUGGCUCUAAUACAGUCGGGGGAUGACGGUACCGGAAGAAUAAGCACCGGCUAACUACGUG
This 486-nucleotide ribosomal RNA is filed under the name uncultured bacterium. RNAcentral's name for it is "partial 16S ribosomal RNA". It matches the Rfam family "Bacterial small subunit ribosomal RNA", at positions 30 to 507 of the family's 1533-position model. The record is from RNAcentral.